GCGCACGGGUGAGUAACACGUGGGAAUAUACCUUUCGGUGGGGAAUAACAGCGGGAAACNGCNGCUAAUACCGCAUACGCCCUUCGGGGGAAAGAUUUAUCGCCGAGAGAUUAGCCCGCGUCCGAUUAGCUAGUUGGUAAGGUAACGGCUUACCAAGGCUACGAUCGGUAGCUGGUCUGAGAGGAUGAUCAGCCACACUGGGACUGAGACACGGCCCAGACUCCUACGGGAGGCAGCAGUGGGGAAUAUUGGACAAUGGGCGCAAGCCUGAUCCAGCCAUGCCGCGUGAGUGAUGAAGGCCUUAGGGUUGUAAAGCUCUUUCGACGGGGACGAUGAUGACGGUACCCGUAGAAGAAGCCCCGGCUAACUUCGUGC
RNAcentral lists this ribosomal RNA (375 nucleotides) under uncultured bacterium. RNAcentral describes it as "bacterial SSU rRNA". It matches the Rfam family "Bacterial small subunit ribosomal RNA", at positions 98 to 508 of the family's 1533-position model. The record is from RNAcentral.